Molecule: non-coding RNA, 134 nt
Organism: Triticum aestivum (bread wheat)
Lineage: Eukaryota; Viridiplantae; Streptophyta; Magnoliopsida; Poales; Poaceae
Source: Rfam
AUAAUACUCCAUUCGUCCGAAAAUACUUGUCAUCAAAAUAAACAAAAUGAGAUAUAUCUAGACGUAUUUUAGUUUUAGAUAUAUUUUAUUUAUCCAUUUUAAUGACAAGUAUUUUCAGACGAAAGAAGUAUUUC